Molecule: long non-coding RNA, 426 nt
Organism: Carassius carassius (crucian carp)
Lineage: Eukaryota; Metazoa; Chordata; Actinopteri; Cypriniformes; Cyprinidae
Exons: 2
Source: RefSeq, a predicted model, not a curated record
GGUAGAUGAUGGAACUACAACCAAUGGAGCGCUUUCUCCAAGUAUACUUGAACUCAUUGACAUCUAAUAGGCCUUCCCAGCAAUUAUGUCUUGAGGAACCAAGGAACAGGGUUCUUGAAACUGGAAAAGCCAACAAAAGGGCUUCUGUCCAAACGUCAACUAACAUCUAGCUCUGUUUUCAGGUCAAAAGUGGCUUUCAAUUUAUUGGAAACUUGACAAACCACUAGUAAAGCUAAACUGCCUGAGAUGGAUGAGGAGUUUUCCUGCACCCAGUGUCUCCAGACACAUAGAAAACACCUAAUCAGCAUCGUCGUGCCUCCAUGAACUAAAACUACAUGUUCUUUACUGAAUAUCCAACGACCUGACUCUCUGUAAGUCAACAAAUUCGAUGUCUUGAUAAUAAAGACUUUGGGAGUUUGUUCUAAA